This 253-nucleotide ribosomal RNA is filed under the name uncultured bacterium. RNAcentral's name for it is "partial 16S ribosomal RNA". It matches the Rfam family "Archaeal small subunit ribosomal RNA", at positions 474 to 727 of the family's 1478-position model. The record is from RNAcentral.
UACCCGCAGCACAAGUGGUGGUCAUUAUUAUUGGGCCUAAAGCGUCCGUAGCUGGCCUGUUAGAUGCCUGGGUAAAUCGAUGCGCUUAACGCAUCGAACUCCGGGUAGACCGGCAGGCUCGAGACCGGGAGAGGCGUGGGGUACUCGGGGGGUAGGGGUAAAAUCCUGUAAUCCUCCGGGGACGACCAGUGGCGAAGGCGCCACGCUAGAACGGCUCUGACAGUGAGGGACGAAGCCCUGGGGCGCAAACCGG